This 208-nucleotide ribosomal RNA is filed under the name uncultured bacterium. Its description in RNAcentral is "partial 16S ribosomal RNA". It matches the Rfam family "Bacterial small subunit ribosomal RNA", at positions 568 to 775 of the family's 1533-position model. The record is from RNAcentral.
CGCGUAGGCGGACAUUUAAGUUGGGGGUGAAAGCCCGGGGCUCAACCUCGGAAUUGCCUUCAAUACUGGGUGUCUUGAGUACGGGAGAGGUGUGUGGAACUCCGAGUGUAGAGGUGAAAUUCGUAGAUAUUCGGAAGAACACCAGUGGCGAAGGCGACACACUGGCCCGUUACUGACGCUGAGGCGCGAAAGCGUGGGGAGCAAACAG